GAAUUCGAUUCAGGCCUAACACAUGCGAGUCGAGGGGUAGAACACUUCGGUGUUUGAGACCGGCGCACGGGUGCGUAACGCGUAUGCAAUCUACCUUGUACAGGGGAAUAGCCCAGAGAAAUUUGGAUUAAUGCCCCAUAGUAUAUAACCUUCGCAUGUUGGUUAUAUUAAAGUUCCAACGGUACAAGAUGAGCAUGCGUCCCAUUAGUUAGUUGGUAAGGUAACGGCUUACCAAGACGAUGAUGGGUAGGGGUCCUGAGAGGGAGAUCCCCCACACUGGUACUGAGACACGGACCAGACUCCUACGGGAGGCAGCAGUGAGGAAUAUUGGU
RNAcentral lists this ribosomal RNA (332 nucleotides) under uncultured bacterium. Its description in RNAcentral is "bacterial SSU rRNA". It matches the Rfam family "Bacterial small subunit ribosomal RNA", at positions 43 to 368 of the family's 1533-position model. The record is from RNAcentral.